GGUAACAGGAAGCAGCUUGCUGCUUUGCUGACGAGUGGCGGACGGGUGAGUAAUGUCUGGGAAACUGCCUGAUGGAGGGGGAUAACUACUGGAAACGGUAGCUAAUACCGCAUAACGUCGCAAGACCAAAGAGGGGGACCUUCGGGCCUCUUGCCAUCGGAUGUGCCCAGAUGGGAUUAGCUAGUAGGUGGGGUAACGGCUCACCUAGGCGACGAUCCCUAGCUGGUCUGAGAGGAUGACCAGCCACACUGGAACUGAGACACGGUCCAGACUCCUACGGGAGGCAGCAGUGGGGAAUAUUGCACAAUGGGCGCAAGCCUGAUGCAGCCAUGCCGCGUGUAUGAAGAAGGCCUUCGGGUUGUAAAGUACUUUCAGCGGGGAGGAAGGCGAUGAGGUUAAUAACCUUG
This 407-nucleotide ribosomal RNA is filed under the name Enterobacter hormaechei subsp. xiangfangensis. Its description in RNAcentral is "bacterial SSU rRNA". It matches the Rfam family "Bacterial small subunit ribosomal RNA", at positions 68 to 471 of the family's 1533-position model. The record is from RNAcentral. Lineage: Bacteria; Pseudomonadati; Pseudomonadota; Gammaproteobacteria; Enterobacterales; Enterobacteriaceae.